AUUGAACGCUGGCGGCAGGCCUAACACAUGCAAGUCGAGCGGUAGAGAGGUGCUUGCAUCUCUUGAGAGCGGCGGACGGGUGAGUAAUGCCUAGGAAUCUGCCUAGUGUGGGGGAUAACGUUCGGAAACGGACGCUAAUACCGCAUACGUCCUACGGGAGAAAGCGGGGGAUCUUCGGACCUCGCGCCAUUAGAUGAGCCUAGGUCGGAUUAGCUAGUUGGUGAGGUAAUGGCUCACCAAGGCGACGAUCCGUAACUGGUCUGAGAGGAUGAUCAGUCACACUGGAACUGAGACACGGUCCAGACUCCUACGGGAGGCAGCAGUGGGGAAUAUUGGACAAUGGGCGAAAGCCUGAUCCAGCCAUGCCGCGUGUGUGAAGAAGGUCUUCGGAUUGU
This 395-nucleotide ribosomal RNA is filed under the name uncultured bacterium. Its description in RNAcentral is "bacterial SSU rRNA". It matches the Rfam family "Bacterial small subunit ribosomal RNA", at positions 30 to 426 of the family's 1533-position model. The record is from RNAcentral.